AGAGGCCCUUCAUGGCUGUGGUGGAAUGCUUGCCUCGUCGCUGCAGCGAUGAAGCAAGCAUUCCACCAGGCCAUUCAUGCUGCCUGC
Myotis davidii is the source of this 87-nucleotide non-coding RNA. The record is from Rfam. Lineage: Eukaryota; Metazoa; Chordata; Mammalia; Chiroptera; Vespertilionidae.